This 253-nucleotide ribosomal RNA is filed under the name uncultured bacterium. RNAcentral describes it as "partial 16S ribosomal RNA". It matches the Rfam family "Bacterial small subunit ribosomal RNA", at positions 524 to 776 of the family's 1533-position model. The record is from RNAcentral.
UACGUAGGGUGCGAGCGUUGUCCGGAAUUAUUGGGCGUAAAGAGCUUGUAGGCGGUUUGUCGCGUCUGCCGUGAAAAUCCGGGGCUCAACCCCGGACUUGCGGUGGGUACGGGCAGACUAGAGUGUGGUAGGGGAGACUGGAAUUCCUGGUGUAGCGGUGAAAUGCGCAGAUAUCAGGAGGAACACCGAUGGCGAAGGCAGGUCUCUGGGCCACUACUGACGCUGAGGAGCGAAAGCAUGGGGAGCGAACAGG